GCUUGCUCUUCGAUUCAGCGGCGGACGGGUGAGUAAUGCCUAGGAAUCUGCCUGGUAGUGGGGGACAACGUUUCGAAAGGAACGCUAAUACCGCAUACGUCCUACGGGAGAAAGCAGGGGACCUUCGGGCCUUGCGCUAUCAGAUGAGCCUAGGUCGGAUUAGCUAGUUGGUGAGGUAAUGGCUCACCAAGGCGACGAUCCGUAACUGGUCUGAGAGGAUGAUCAGUCACACUGGAACUGAGACACGGUCCAGACUCCUACGGGAGGCAGCAGUGGGGAAUAUUGGACAAUGGGCGAAAGCCUGAUCCAGCCAUGCCGCGUGUGUGAAGAAGGUCUUCGGAUUGUAAAGCACUUUAAGGUGGGAGGAAGGGUUGUAAAUUAAUACUCUGCAGUUUUGACGUUACCGCCAGAAUAAGCACCGGCUAACUCUGUGCCAGCAGCCGCGGUAAUACAGAGGGUGCAAGCGUUAAUCGGAAUUACUGGGCGUAAAGCGCGCGUAGGUGGUUUGUUAAGUUGGAUGUGAAAUCCCCGGGCUCAACCUGGGAACUGCAUCCAAAACUGGCAAGCUAGAGUAUGGUAGAGGGUAGUGGAAUUUCCUGUGUAGCGGUGAAAUGCGUAGAUAUAGGAAGGAACACCAGUGGCGAAGGCGACUACCUGGACUGAUACUGACACUGAGGUGCGAAAGCGUGGGGAGCAAACAGGAUUAGAUACCCUGGUAGUCCACGCCGUAAACGAUGUCAACUAGCCCGUUGGGGACCUUGAGUCUUUAGUGGCGCAGCUAACGCAUUAAGUUGACCGCCUGGGGAGUACGGCCGCAAGGUUAAACUCAAAUGAAUUGACGGGGGCCGCACAAGCGGGGGAGCAUGUGGUUAAUUCGAAGCACGCGAAA
Molecule: ribosomal RNA, 889 nt
Filed under: Pseudomonas sp.
Lineage: Bacteria; Pseudomonadati; Pseudomonadota; Gammaproteobacteria; Pseudomonadales; Pseudomonadaceae
Description: bacterial SSU rRNA
Rfam family: Bacterial small subunit ribosomal RNA
Source: RNAcentral